Molecule: ribosomal RNA, 468 nt
Filed under: uncultured bacterium
Lineage: Bacteria
Description: partial 16S ribosomal RNA
Rfam family: Bacterial small subunit ribosomal RNA
Source: RNAcentral
GACGAACGCUGGCGGCGCGCCUAACACAUGCAAGUCGAACGGAGCUGCGAGAAGCUUGCUUUUCUUAGCUUAGUGGCGAACGGGUGAGUAACGCGUGAGUAACCUGCCCUGGAGUGGGGGACAACAGUUGGAAACGACUGCUAAUACCGCAUAAGCCCACGAUCCGGCAUCGGAUUGAGGGAAAAGGAUUUAUUCGCUUCAGGAUGGACUCGCGUCCAAUUAGCUAGUUGGUGAGGUAACGGCCCACCAAGGCGACGAUUGGUAGCCGGACUGAGAGGUUGAAUGGCCACAUUGGGACUGAGACACGGCCCAGACUCCUACGGGAGGCAGCAGUGGGGGAUAUUGCACAAUGGGGGAAACCCUGAUGCAGCGACGCCGCGUGGAGGAAGAAGGUUUUCGGAUUGUAAACUCCUGUCGUUAGGGACGAUAAUGACGGUACCUAACAAGAAAGCACCGGCUAACUACGUG